RNAcentral lists this ribosomal RNA (211 nucleotides) under uncultured fungus. Its description in RNAcentral is "partial 26S ribosomal RNA". It matches the Rfam family "Eukaryotic large subunit ribosomal RNA", at positions 73 to 282 of the family's 3401-position model. The record is from RNAcentral. Lineage: Eukaryota; Fungi.
GUAUGCCUUAGUACGGCGAGUGAAGCGGCAAAAGCUCAAAUUUGAAAUCUGGCGUCUUCGACGUCCGAGUUGUAAUUUGAAGAAGGCGACUUUGUAGCUGGUCCUUGUCUAUGUUCCUUGGAACAGGACGUCAUAGAGGGUGAGAAUCCCGUGUGGCGAGGAUCCCAGUUAUUUGUAAAGUGCUUUCGACGAGUCGAGUUGUUUGGGAAUU